CUCCUAAAUGUCCUAGGCUGCACGCGCACUACACUGACACAUUCAACGAGUCUGAUUGCCUUUACGGCAACCUAUCUUGAAGAGGAUGGGAAAUCUUUUGAACUUGUGUCGUGAUGAGGAUAGAUGAUUGCAAUUAUUCUCCUUGAAUGAGGAAUGCCUAGUAAGCGUAAGUCAUAAGCUUGCGCUGAUUACGUCCCUGCCCUUUGUACACACCGCCCGUCGCUACGACCGACUGUUUCUGUCAAUGAAGCUGUAGGAUUUGGUCCUGGCCGGGCUUCACGGCCUGGCUGCGGCACUGGAGAUCACAGUUUAGUUGAUACGAAAUACAGGACGUAAAAGUCGUAACA
This 347-nucleotide ribosomal RNA is filed under the name uncultured eukaryote. RNAcentral's name for it is "partial 18S ribosomal RNA". It matches the Rfam family "Eukaryotic small subunit ribosomal RNA", at positions 1470 to 1796 of the family's 1831-position model. The record is from RNAcentral.